Molecule: ribosomal RNA, 433 nt
Filed under: uncultured bacterium
Lineage: Bacteria
Description: partial 16S ribosomal RNA
Rfam family: Bacterial small subunit ribosomal RNA
Source: RNAcentral
AACGAACGCUGGCGGCAUGCCUAACACAUGCAAGUCGAACGAGACCUUCGGGUCUAGUGGCGCACGGGUGCGUAACGCGUGGGAACCUGCCCUUAGGUUCGGAAUAACUCCCCGAAAGGGGUGCUAAUACCGGAUAAUGUCUUCGGACCAAAGAUUGAUCGCCUUUGGAUGGGCCCGCGUUGGAUUAGCUAGUUGGUAGGGUAAAAGCCUACCAAGGCGACGAUCCAUAGCUGGUCUGAGAGGAUGAUCAGCCACACUGGGACUGAGACACGGCCCAGACUCCUACGGGAGGCAGCAGUGGGGAAUAUUGGACAAUGGGCGAAAGGCUGAUCCAGCAAGGCCGCGUGAGUGAUGAAGGCCUUAGGGUUGUAAAGCUCUUUUACCCGGGAUGAUAAUGACAGUACCGGGAGAAUAAGCUCCGGCUAACUCCGUG